GGAGGUAGGGUCCAGCGG
Molecule: small nuclear RNA, 18 nt
Filed under: Arabidopsis thaliana (thale cress)
Lineage: Eukaryota; Viridiplantae; Streptophyta; Magnoliopsida; Brassicales; Brassicaceae
Description: snRNA_04890
Source: RNAcentral